RNAcentral lists this long non-coding RNA (285 nucleotides) under Medicago truncatula (barrel medic). Its description in RNAcentral is "long non-coding RNA (MTRU_LNC003491)". Lineage: Eukaryota; Viridiplantae; Streptophyta; Magnoliopsida; Fabales; Fabaceae. The record is from RNAcentral.
CAAAGCUUAGGGUUUAAGAGAAUUGUUGUAGGUGCUUUACAACCACUUGGAUGUCUUCCUCAAACCACUGCUGAAUCCUCGUUCCAACGUUGCAAUAGUACAUUUAACGACCUCGUAGCUCUCCAUAACAACCUAUUGAACCAAUCCGUGGCCAAAUUGAACCAAGAAACCAAGGAUCACACCACCUUUACAAUUCUAGACAUUUUUGACAGUUUUGCGUCGGUGUUGAACCACCCUGCAAGCCAUAAUAUCAAGGAUCAUUUGAAGCCAUGUUGCGCGGGAGUA